This 217-nucleotide ribosomal RNA is filed under the name uncultured Smithella sp. RNAcentral's name for it is "partial 16S ribosomal RNA". It matches the Rfam family "Bacterial small subunit ribosomal RNA", at positions 1165 to 1382 of the family's 1533-position model. Lineage: Bacteria; Pseudomonadati; Thermodesulfobacteriota; Syntrophia; Syntrophales; Smithellaceae. The record is from RNAcentral.
GGAGGAAGUGGGGAUGACGUCAAGUCCUCAUGGCCUUUAUGUCUAGGGCUACACACGUGCUACAAUGGGUGGUACAAAGAGCAGCUAACUCGCGAGAGUAUGCAAAUCUCAAAAAGCCAUCCUCAGUUCGGAUUGGAGUCUGCAACUCGACUCCAUGAAGUUGGAAUCGCUAGUAAUCGCGGAUCAGCAUGCCGCGGUCGAAUACGUUCCGGGCCUU